AGAGUUUGAUCAUGGCUCAGGAUGAACGCUGGCGGUAUGCUUAACACAUGCAAGUCGUACGGGUUAGAUUUAUCUAAUCUAGUGGCGGACGGGUGCGUAACACGUAAGAACCUACCUUUUGGAGGGGGAUAACAUUGGGAAACCGAUGCUAAUACCCCGUAAUAGCUGAGGAGUGAAAAGCGGGCUCGUAAGGGCUACGCGCCAGAAGAGGGGCUUGCGGCUGAUUAGCUAGUUGGUGGGGGUAACGGCCUCCCAAGGCCACGAUCAGUAGCUGGUCUGAGAGGAUGAUCAGCCACACUGGGACUGAGACACGGCCCAGACUCCUACGGGAGGCAGCAGUGAGGAAUUUUCCACAAUGGGCGAAAGCCUGAUGGAGCAAUACCGCGUGGAGGAAGACACCCUGUGGGGCGUAAACUCCUUUUCUCAGGGAAGAAGUAAGUGACGGUACCUGAGGAAUAAGCUCCGGCUAACUAUGUGCCAGCAGCCGCGGUAAUACAUAGGGAGCAAGCGUUAUCCGGAAUGAUUGGGCGUAAAGCGUCUGUAGGUGGUUCAAAAAGUCUAUUGUCAAAUACGUUGGCUUAACCAACGGCAGGCAUUAGAGUGCUGUUGGACUAGAGUUCGGUAGAGGUAGAGGGAAUCCCUAGCGUAACAGUGAAAUGUGUAGAUUUUAGGGAGAACACCAGCGGCGAAGGCGCUCUACUGGGCCGUAACUGACACUGAGAGACGAAAGCUAGAGGAGCGAAAAGGAUUAGAUACCCUCGUAGUCC
RNAcentral lists this ribosomal RNA (767 nucleotides) under uncultured bacterium. RNAcentral describes it as "bacterial SSU rRNA". It matches the Rfam family "Bacterial small subunit ribosomal RNA", at positions 8 to 796 of the family's 1533-position model. The record is from RNAcentral.